RNAcentral lists this ribosomal RNA (253 nucleotides) under uncultured bacterium. RNAcentral describes it as "partial 16S ribosomal RNA". It matches the Rfam family "Bacterial small subunit ribosomal RNA", at positions 524 to 776 of the family's 1533-position model. The record is from RNAcentral.
UACGGAGGGUGCAAGCGUUAUCCGGAUUCACUGGGUUUAAAGGGUGCGUAGGUGGGUUGGUAAGUCAGUGGUGAAAUCUCCAGGCUUAACUUGGAAACUGCCAUUGAUACUAUCAAUCUUGAAUACCGUGGAGAUCAGCGGAAUAUGUCAUGUAGCGGUGAAAUGCUUAGAUAUGACAUAGAACACCAAUUGCGAAGGCAGCUGGUUACACGAAUAUUGACACUGAUGCACGAAAGCGUGGGGAUCAAACAGG